RNAcentral lists this ribosomal RNA (615 nucleotides) under Lichtheimia corymbifera. RNAcentral's name for it is "eukaryotic LSU rRNA". It matches the Rfam family "Eukaryotic large subunit ribosomal RNA", at positions 87 to 646 of the family's 3401-position model. The record is from RNAcentral. Lineage: Eukaryota; Fungi; Mucoromycota; Mucoromycetes; Mucorales; Lichtheimiaceae.
CGGCGAGUGAAGAGGGAAAAGCUCAAAGUUGGAACCUGGCUGUCUUAGAUAGUCCGGAUUGUAAACUAAAGAGCGUGAAUCCAGGCAAGCCGGUUGAUCAAGUCCUUUGGAAUGAGGCGCCACUGAGGGUGAGAGCCCCGUAAAUCGACUGAGCAUUUGUCUUUUGUGUUUCGCGUUCAAAGAGUCAGGUUGUUUGGGAAUGCAGCCUAAAGCUGGUGGUAAAUCCCACCUAAAGCUAAAUACAGGCGAGAGACCGAUAGCGAACAAGUACCGUGAGGGAAAGAUGAAAAGUACUUUGAAAAGAGAGUUAAACAGUAUGUGAAAUUGCCAAGAGGGAAGCAUUUGGAGUUAGACUGACUUGGAGUUAAUCAGCUUGGUCUUUGGACUGGGUGUACUUGACUUCUAUGUCUGCCAAUAGCAGUUAGUCCUGGUGGAAAAAACUGAAGGGAAGGUAGUCCUUCGGGAUGUUUAUAGACCUUUGGAAAAUACACUGGGAUUGACUGAGGAAUGCAGUAGAUGCUAUUAAGGCUUCGUCUAGUAGGUGUUAGGUGAAGGUACUUGGUAUUUUCAGCUUGCUGAUGUGCUAGGUUACUUGAGCUUAAUUGCUUGCUAGAA